CCUACGGGUGGCAGCAGUGAGGAAUAUUGGUCAAUGGUCGCGAGCCUGAACCAGCCAAGUAGCGUGAAGGAUGACUGUCCUACGGGUUGUAAACUUCUUUUGUAAAGGAAUAAAGUGAGGCACGUGUCCCUGUUUGUGUGUACUUUAUGAAUAAGGAUCGGCUAACUCCGUGCCAGCAGCCGCGGUAAUACGGAGGAUCCGAGCGUUAUCCGGAUUUAUUGGGUUUAAAGGGAGCGUAGAUGGGUUGUUAAGUCAGUUGUUAAAGUUUGUGGCUCAACCGUAAAAUUGCAAUUGAUACUGGCAGUCUCGAGUACAGGUGAGGUAGGCGGAAUGCGUGGUGGAGCGGUGAAAUGCAGAGAUAUCACGAAGAACUCCGAUUGCGAAGGCAGCUUACUAACCUGCCACUGACAUUGAUGCUCGAAAGUGUGGGUAUCAAACAGGAUUAGAUACCCUAGUAGUC
Molecule: ribosomal RNA, 460 nt
Filed under: uncultured bacterium
Lineage: Bacteria
Description: partial 16S ribosomal RNA
Rfam family: Bacterial small subunit ribosomal RNA
Source: RNAcentral